UGUCGUUGUCCUGACAACGAGUCUCAAGAGCAGCUGAUUACUUGUAACAGACAGUAAAUCAGCGUCUUUUCCGUAGUGUCUACUGCAGGAUGGAUAUAAAAGUAUAAAACACGUUUUGGUUUGACAACAUCGUUCAUAUGUGAACUAUCACAAUUAAAGCACAAAGACAUAACAUUACACCCCGAGACCUUUCACAAGUGCUACAAAAGAUUAGAAACGCUUUCCGGAAGAAGUUCAUCAGGCGAGGUGGAGACUAGUCGACUCAUCCAGUUUAGCGGUGAGUAUAAUGUCUAAUGUCCUCAUAUAUCUUUAGUUAUAAUUUCAGAGAGAUGUAAAAAGACUUGACGGAUAUCUUAUUCAACCCGCUGAGAGGAGAAGAUGAUGAGAGGAAACGCCGCUGCAGUGCUGAUCUGUAGCGCGCGCGGGUCACUGCGCAGAACUGAAGUCUGAGAGGAAGACAAAACAACUGGUUUAAGGUUGUUUUACUACACUUUUACUAUAAUAAACACCAACAUCCCAAUCCAACCAGUGACAACCCUGUGUAUAGAUUUAUUUAAUUAUGCUAUGGCUCAGCAAUUUGUUAUAAGCAGUUCUGUAGAAAUUAGUCAUGUUAUUGUCCAGCUCAGUUCAGUUCUCAAUAGCAUCAGUACAUCAUUUACAAUAAUGGAAUAAACAAAAUUGUACUGAAUACAGUGUAUUUGUUUGUUUCUAGGAGAGCAUCAACCCCUAAUUGACAUGAGGAAAAAAAUCAUUGAAAGGUGUUCAGUGUACAGUGUACCUCUCUUUGCAACAGAAGAAGCAUUAGGAAAGAGGAGAAGAUAGAAACUGAAAAGGCACUCAACAGAUGUUGGAAAAUGCACUGGUAACAACUAAAAAAAGACAACCAAAAAUAUAAUUCAACAGAGGAUGAUGCCUGUGGUGAAACAAGCACUCAAAUAAUGAAACUAAGACCAGUGGGAGUGCUGGAGAAAUCAAGUGAAUAAGUCCUCUGUCGUCUCAGCCAUGGAAGAGAUCUUCAGACAUGAAGAGAUCGAGGAGUUAAAUGAAAUCAAAGAGCUAAAAGAAGAUUUACAAUACUAGUGCCAUUUCAGUAUGAAAACAGAGAGAGAGCUGAGGGAAUGGAAAGACUACAUCCAAAAUAGUGUUUCCACAUCUGAGAUGAAGGCAGUCAUAAGAACCAAGCGGAACGAUGAGGAUAAGCUCUUCAGAAAAUGAAACCUGUCUGAAUAACGAGGGAAGAAAUGUGCAUGAUUGCGUGAUUUGUAAAUAAACACUAAAUACAUUUAGUGUAACUCUCAGCCUGUUAUUUUAAGUUUAAAGAAAAGUAAAAUCAUUUAUUGUUGCAUUGCUGUUUGAGACAUUCACUGUUGUUUUGUAC
This is a long non-coding RNA of Onychostoma macrolepis, 1378 nucleotides long. RefSeq lists it as uncharacterized. The transcript has 4 exons. NCBI's taxonomy places the organism in Eukaryota, Metazoa, Chordata, Actinopteri, Cypriniformes, Cyprinidae. The record is from RefSeq and is a predicted model, not a curated record.